UUCGGGUCUAGCGGCGGACGGGUUAGUAACGCGUGGGAACGUACCCUUUUCUACGGAAUAGCCUUUGGAAACGAAGAGUAAUACCGUAUACGCCCUUUGGGGGAAAGAUUUAUCGGAGAAGGAUCGGCCCGCGUUAGAUUAGAUAGUUGGUGGGGUAAUGGCCUACCAAGUCUACGAUCUAUAGCUGGUUUUAGAGGAUGAUCAGCAACACUGGGACUGAGACACGGCCCAGACUCCUACGGGAGGCAGCAGUGGGGAAUCUUAGACAAUGGGCGCAAGCCUGAUCUAGCCAUGCCGCGUGAGUGAAGAAGGCCUUAGGGUCGUAAAGCUCUUUCGCCAGGGAUGAUAAUGACAGUACCUGGUAAAGAAACCCCGGCUAACUCCGUGCCAGCAGCCGCGGUAAUACGGAGGGGGUUAGCGUUGUUCGGAAUUACUGGGCGUAAAGCGCACGUAGGCGGAUUAGAAAGUUAGAGGUGAAAUCCCAGGGCUCAACCCUG
RNAcentral lists this ribosomal RNA (497 nucleotides) under uncultured Roseovarius sp. RNAcentral's name for it is "bacterial SSU rRNA". It matches the Rfam family "Bacterial small subunit ribosomal RNA", at positions 85 to 617 of the family's 1533-position model. The record is from RNAcentral. Lineage: Bacteria; Pseudomonadati; Pseudomonadota; Alphaproteobacteria; Rhodobacterales; Roseobacteraceae.